Long non-coding RNA from Oenanthe melanoleuca, 3233 nucleotides. RefSeq lists it as uncharacterized. The transcript is spliced from 6 exons. The record is from RefSeq and is a predicted model, not a curated record. Lineage: Eukaryota; Metazoa; Chordata; Aves; Passeriformes; Muscicapidae.
UGCGGGGGAAGAGGCUGGCAGCGGUGUGGCCUUCCUUUGAAAUUCCGAGGAAGUUCAUGAAUGCGGGGCUGUGAACGCGAUUUUUUGGCUGUAAUCCCGUUGUUGGGAUCCUGGAGCUUUCUAAAGCUGCUGAUGGUGGAGGCGUUGUUCAGUGACAGAAGAAGUUACAGGAAAAAAAAAGCAGUGAAUGCUGUUUGAAUUCCAAAGGUACCUGGCUAUCUAAUGGAAAACACUGAAAUACAUCCUCAGAAGAGGUGGGCUUUAAGGGACCAUCGAGGGGACAACAAGACGAGAAUGACUUCAGUGAUUUUGGAGCAAUUGUCUUCUACCUUUCAGGUUCUUUGAGGGAGAAACAAAGAGUUUUCCUCUAUCUCAAACUUUCCUGUUUUAGUGGCCUACUAGUAGUACAAAGCGCUGUUUGCCAUUGUCAAUUACCACUGAUCUCAGCAUGGUCUGGCAAGCUUAGGGGCAUCCACUUCACAGCACUCCUAGAGGGUAAUACUUCAUUUGGUUUCCUGGCAACUUCCUGACUGUUCAGGGUUAUGAAAAAUACAAUAUUUAGCUGUUAUUCUUUCUCUAUGGCUAUUAUUUCCAUUGGCUUUGUAAUCACAGUGAUAGAGUCUUGAUAAUGUUCUUGUCAAUACUGUGUUCCUGGCUAAUAGGGGAGAGCUGAGGAUAUGACCAUUGUCUCAGGAAACAUGACACACAUCCGUUGCAAUCAAUACAUGUAAUUUGCUCUAUCAAAUGCCUCAUGAGACAGGUUGAUAUUACAACCAGUGAAUGGCUGUAGUAAUAAGUGCAAUUUUGACACGAAGUUCUUCCAAAUGUGUAUUUUGGCACACAGGACUGCAGAAGGUUUCCACACAGGCAUGAUAUAGCAGUGGAUCCCAUGACCAGAUAACUGAGAUUAUUUCAAGUGCCUCCAAAGAGUUAUUUUACUCUGGUAGCUGUCAUACACAGACUUGGCAGGCCUGGUGUUAGAUCAGAGCUAAGGAUCUGGGUGACUGAGGAAGUUUAUCCUGCUGUAACUUUAUAGAUGGAUGUUAUAAAUUAGAAGCUGUUAAAUGCUGAAGAACAACAUCAUUGUCUGCAACUAUUUGGUAAUGCCUGAUGGCUUGCAGAAUGUUAUGGUUGUUUGAUUCCUGCAUUAGGAAGAAAAUGCAGGUACUGUAAAAUUGUAAUUAAUAGUAAGACUGAAAUGAGAAGAGGAGGUUUGGAAAAGGAGACCUCAAUAAGUUUCAGUACACACUUCAUAUUGAAUAUUGAAUAUUGUUGUGUGAUGACAUAAAUACUCUUUUAUUCCUUUAAUUUGAUCUGAUUCCAGGUAAAAUAUAAUUCCUCUCGGCACUCCUUACUGAUAAGAUUUCUGAUAGUGAUUGAGACAGUCUGAUACUGCACCAAGUUUUUGUCCAGGAAUUUAAUGCCUUCUAGUCUAAUCUAUCUUAUUCUGACAGGUUUUGCCACCUUUUGUCAUCACAAUCAUUUUAUUGGGCAAAAUAAUCCAACAUAGAUCCAUAUAUUUUGUAGUUCCAUAAUAAGGCCUACUAUAAGACUUGCUCAGUUGUCUGGUGCACUUAAAAAAGCAUUUUUCCAUCACCUCUUGUCUUCAUACACUCUAAAUUUCAGGACAGAAAUGUUCAAUGCUUGUUAAGGGUUACAUUUUAAAUUAGGUAAAAUGUCAUUGGUUGGUUCUGAGAUUAGUUUACUUUUCCUACUUCAAAACUUUUUCAAAAAACACCCAUGGAAUAAAUGCAUUACAAGCGAAGCAGCUGCUGGGGAGGGAGGCUCUUUCCUGAAUCUAAAAGGAAGCAUCUUCUGUACUGCUUUCAUUCUUACAAAGGGUUUGAUUUAAAGAUGCCUUAACUAUACAAUGUGUGCUGAAUUGAGAGAGAUUGAAGAUGAAAUGGACCAGAAAUGUUUAAAGAUAAGAGGGUUCAGCAGCAGUCCUGAAAGUUUGUGAGGAGAGUCAUUCCAAAUGUAGGCAGACUUUGAAAAGGAGAAGUUGUAUUGGAAAUGGUUCCUCUAUCCUUUGCAGGAUUCAUGGAAUCCUUAUGGCAGUUGGAAGGCACCUCUGGAGAUCACCUAAUCCAGUCCACAAAGCAGGGUCAGCUAAAGCAGCUUGUCCAGGAUUGUGUCCAGUUGGGUUUAGAAUGUCUCUGACUAUGUAGAGUCCACAACAUUCCUGGGUAACCUGAUACAGGUUUUCACCUGUUCCACCUGUUCCAGUGUUUUACUCUCACAGUAAAAGGUGAGGGAGUUAAAGUUUAAAUGGAGUAUUUUGUAUUUCAGUUUGGGCCUACUGCUUCUUGUUCUUUCCCUGGACAACAUUAAGAAGAGCCCACCUGUGUUUUUCGUUUUUUAUUGAUCAGGUAUUUAUAGACAGAGGUACUGUCCCACCUUCUCCAGAAUGAACAGUCCCAGCCUCUCAAAUGACAGAAACUCCAGACCCUUAAUCAUCUUUCUGUCCCUUUGAUGGACUAACUCUAGUUUGUCCACACCUUUCUUGUGCUGGAAAACCCAGAGUCAGACUCUGACUCCAUCCGAGACUCAUCAGUGCUGAGCAGAGGCAAGGAUCACCUCCUCCACCUGCUGGUAGUGCUUUUCCUGGGAUGCUGCUGGCUUUCAUUGCCACAAGGAUGUAUUCCCAGCUCACAUCCAAUUUGUUUUCCAACAGGUCUUUUUAUCCAAAAUUGUUUUCCACUUAGAUUGAAAGGAGCCAUUUACUCAGGCAAAAAUUCAUCAAUUUGUCAAUGAGAACAUUUCAGGAGCGAGUAUCUAAAGCCUUGCUGUGGUGAGGAUAAUAUCACUUGCCCUUCCCUCAUCCAUCAUACCACUGAUAUCAUUGUUGAAGGCUGAAAGAUUAGUUGAGCAUAAUUUCUCCUUCAUAAAUCAAUGGAGAAUGGAUUGAGAGCAGCCUGGAAAUACUUGGGGGUGUUGGUUGAUGAGAAGCUCAACAAGACCCAGCAACACACACUUGUAAUCCAGAAAGACUGCAUCAAGUAUUGGGAAUUCAUUCUUCAUUGUGAGGGUGCUGACACACUGGCACAGGUUGCCUAGAGAUGUUAUGGAAUCCCCAUCCCUGGAAGUCUUCAAAGGCCAGGCUGGUGGGGCUUGGAGCAACAUGAUCUAGUGGGAGGUGUCCCUGCCCAUGGCAGGGGGUGGAAGGAAGUAAGUGGGAGGUCCCUUCUAAUCCAAACUCUGUGAUUCUAAAUCACCUUUUUGUCCUUAAUGCU